AGUGAACGCUGGCGGUAGGCCUAACACAUGCAAGUCGAACGGCAGCACAGUAAGAGCUUGCUCUUACGGGUGGCGAGUGGCGGACGGGUGAGGAAUACAUCGGAAUUUACUUUUUCGUGGGGGAUAACGUAGGGAAACUUACGCUAAUACCGCAUACGACCUACGGGUGAAAGCAGGGGAUCUUCGGACCUUGCGCGAUUGAAUGAGCCGAUGUCGGAUUAGCUAGUUGGCGGGGUAAAGGCCCACCAAGGCGACGAUCCGUAGCUGGUCUGAGAGGAUGAUCAGCCACACUGGAGCUGAGACACGGUCCAGACUCCUACGGGAGGAAGCAGUGGGGAAUAUUGGACAAGGGGCGCAAGCCUGAUCCAGCCAUACCGCGUGGGUGAAGAAGGCCUUCGGGUUGUAAAGCCCUUUUGUUGGGAAAGAAAAGCAGCAGGUUAAUACCCCGCUGUUCUGACGGUACCCAAAGAAUAAGCACCGGCUAACUUCGUG
This 492-nucleotide ribosomal RNA is filed under the name uncultured bacterium. RNAcentral's name for it is "partial 16S ribosomal RNA". It matches the Rfam family "Bacterial small subunit ribosomal RNA", at positions 29 to 507 of the family's 1533-position model. The record is from RNAcentral.